CCUACGGGACGCACCAGUGGGGAAUAUUGGACAAUGGGCGGAAGCCUGAUCCAGCAAUGCCGCGUGUGUGAAGAAGGUCUUCGGAUUGUAAAGCACUUUCGACGGGGACAAUGAUGACGGUAACCGGAGAAGAAGCCCCGGCUAACUUCGUGCCAGCAGCCGCGGUAAUACGAAGGGGGCUAGCGUUGUUCGGAAUUACUGGGCGUAGAGCGCGCGUAGGCGGAUAGAUAAGUCAGAGGUGAAAUCCCGGGGCUCAACCCCGGAAUUGCCUUUGAUACUGUUUAUCUUGAGUGCAGAAGAGGUAAGUGGAAUUCCGAGUGUAGAGGUGAAAUUCGUAGAUAUUCGGAGGGACACCAGUGGCGAAGGCGGCUUACUGGUCUGCAACUGACGCUGAGGCGCGAAAGCGUGGGGAGCAAACAGGAUUAGAUACCCUUGUAGUC
RNAcentral lists this ribosomal RNA (440 nucleotides) under uncultured bacterium. RNAcentral describes it as "bacterial SSU rRNA". It matches the Rfam family "Bacterial small subunit ribosomal RNA", at positions 338 to 795 of the family's 1533-position model. The record is from RNAcentral.